CGACAAAUGGCGAGAUAUGCUGUAUACGGAAUACAUGCAAUAGAGGUUAAAAUCAUAUAAAAUACAAUAUUUAGUGUGCAAUAGUAGCCCAUUGCGUAGCUAUUGUGUGUACUGGUUUAUUAUAAAUUUGUUGGCUUUUUUGUGUUUUGAUUUGGCUUUUUUUUACCACUGGGAUCUGGCAACACUGGUACUGAUGCACGACCUUCCCUGUCCAAUUAUUACUACCAAUCUUAAGAUCGGUGAUCUACGUUGGUUCCAUCAUUUGUGCUGGGUUGUUCGGACAUCAGCUGUAUCAGUAUCGUAUCUCAUAACCAUCGUAUUUUGGGCGUUUGGAUUGGAAAGCAAAUCCCCGCCUCGUAUCAAUGUCCAUCGCC
Molecule: non-coding RNA, 374 nt
Organism: Styela clava
Lineage: Eukaryota; Metazoa; Chordata; Ascidiacea; Stolidobranchia; Styelidae
Source: RefSeq, a predicted model, not a curated record